RNAcentral lists this ribosomal RNA (492 nucleotides) under uncultured bacterium. Its description in RNAcentral is "partial 16S ribosomal RNA". It matches the Rfam family "Bacterial small subunit ribosomal RNA", at positions 29 to 507 of the family's 1533-position model. The record is from RNAcentral.
AGUGAACGCUGGCGGUAGGCCUAACACAUGCAAGUCGAACGGCAGCACAGUAAGUGCUUGCUCUUACGGGUUGCGAGUGGCGGACGGGUGAGGAAUACAUCGUAAUCUACUUUUUCGGGGGGGAUAACGUAGGUGAACUUACGAUAAUACCGCACACUACCUACGGGUGAGUGCAGUGGAUCUUCGGACCUUGCGCGAUUGAAUGACGCGAUGUCGGAUUAGCUAGUUGGUGGGGUAAUGGCCCACCAAGGCGUCGAACCGUAGCUGGACUGAGAGGAUGAUCAGCGACACUGGAACGGAGACACGGUCCAGACACCUACGGAAGGCAGCAGUGGGCAAUCUUGGACAAUGGGCGCAAGCCUGAUCCAGCCAUACCGAGUGCGUAAAGAAGGCCUUCGGGUUGGAAAGCCCUUUUGUUGGGAAAGAAAAGCAGUUGAUUAAGACCCCGCUGUUAUGACGGUAACCAAAAAAAAAGGACCGGCUAACUUCGUG